RNAcentral lists this long non-coding RNA (5584 nucleotides) under Homo sapiens (human). Its description in RNAcentral is "HSALNT0352908". The record is from RNAcentral. Lineage: Eukaryota; Metazoa; Chordata; Mammalia; Primates; Hominidae.
GCUCCUGAGCUCAAGCUAUCCACUUGCCUCAGCCUCCCAAAUUGCUGAGAUUAGAAGAAUGAGCCACUGUGCCUGUGACUUACUUCUAACCCACAGAAUAGAGCAACAGUGAGAGGAUGUCAAUUCUGUGAUAGAUUGCAAAAUAUUGUAAGUUCCUAGCAGUCUUUCUCAUUGGUUUCAAUAAAAAAAAGCUGCUGUGCUGGAGGGACCCAUGAGGCAAAGAACUGAGAGCAGCCUUUAGCUAACAGCCGGCAAGGAAUGAGGUGCUUGGUCCAGCAAUCACAGAGAAACUGAAUCCUGCUGAUGAUCAUGAGGGUGAGCUUGGAAGCAGAUUCUGUCCCAGAUGAACUUUGAUUGUGUCUUGUUAGAAACCCUGGACCAACUCCUUGAUUGCACCUGUGAGAGGCCCUGAAGCGGAGGGCCCAGCUAAGGUGUGUCUGGAUUUCUGACCCACAGAAACUGAGAUCAUAAAUGUGUGGUUUUAAGCCCGUAAGUUUUGGAAUACAGUAGAUCUUCAUUAUUCACAGAUUUUGCACUUGCAAAUUUGCUUACUCGCUAAAAUUUAUUUGUAUCCCUAAAAUCAGUACUCCAGCACUUUCACAGUCAUUUACGGCAUCUGCAGAGCAGUGAAAAAUUUGAAUUGCCUGAGAUACAUGCUCCCUGCUGAAGUCGCACAAGCUGGCCAAUCCUGCUAAUCCUUUAAAACUCACCUGGAGGGAAGGCCUCCUUCUGCAAAGCCUCUCUUGAUGCAGAUUAUCAGCUUUCACUCUCUACCAGAUGGCAAGGAUAUUGCUGUUGGCUCAUAGGAUGUGAACAGUGGUGUUGAGAUUACCCUCAUUUGGCUGAUGAUGUCAUUGAGGCCCAGAGAAGGUAAGUAAUGUACCAAGGUUACAGACUAGUAAGUGACAGAGAUGGGUUUUGAGCCCCAUUCUUCUACAUUGUGUGCAAUAGCUCAUAUCAAGGUCACUAAAGCUGAAGACUGAAUUAUUUAUUCAAAUACUGCCAUCAUGCACCAAUAUUCUCAACAGGUAGGACACCUGGCAGGGCCUGGCUUUGGGGCUAACUUCUGCAGCUCUUUUGAUUGCCCCCACCUUACAGUUUUUGGCACAGAGCACUGUGUAGCUGGCACUUCUCUACUGGCCCGAAUGAGAAAACUUCCUCAGAGCAAAAUGUCAAGCACCAAAUAAGAUUCAUGUUUACUGUGAAGUGAUUGCUGCUUUUUAAAUGCUUAUCAGAAGCCGAAGGACAAACUCAGUAGGUUGAUUCAUGCUGAGCUCGACUACCUCCGUGAGAAAUGACUCUCCUGUAGGGCUCGAUGACCUUCAUGUCAAUGCGCUGCUCUUGUUCUCCAAUGACCACUGUCCUCCAAAGCCGGUUGUCCUCCCGUUCCUCUUCGGCCGUAUAUUCUGGAAUAGACUCUGACUCUUGGCCAGAAUCUUUGUUGGCUGUGGGAUCUUCUGGAAACAAAGCACAGAGCAAGGCUGAAGGAGCAAGACCUCCACAGUGCAGCUAAACAGCCAAAUGAGUCUCCCGCAAGUCAGGAAAACUGGAUAAAAAGAGGCCUAAAUGUGAGCAAGAGCUAUCAUGUUUGGCUUCAAGUCCUGACAACUCUGUAUAUGAUCUUCAGUGCCCUUUACCUGGCCGAAGUAUCCUCCCAGGUAACAUUCUUUGAACUCACCCAAGCAGUCACCAGCUCUUAUGCCAAUCUCGCUUGACAUUGGUUCCCAUAACAUAAGUGACAAUCUUAUGUGUAGGCUCCCUCCUCUCAUUGUAGUAUGCAUCUUCCCGCUCAGCUGCCUUUCAUUUAAUAGAAGCAGAGCUGGAGAAGUCAUUUUUUAACCAAGCUUAAACUAACAAAACAAAGGUAGAGACAUACCCUACUGUAGUAUAAUAAGAAAUGUAUUUGGUCUUUGGCCCUGGUUCCAGGCACAGAGGUCUUAAAACCCUUGUCAUUUCCUAAGGUGGAUAGUGUCAGAAUUGAAUUAUAGGACACCCAGUUGGUGUUCAUUAGAAAAUUGCUUGGUGUGUGGCAAACAAAACAAAACAAAACCCUACACAUCUGGUCACAGAAGUGUUCAGUGUGAGAGCAGAGUAGGAGAAAACAGUUUGUUGCCUUCACCUAAAACCAGAAAUGACAGGAUUCCUAAGCACGAAAUAUUUUGAAGACCAUUUGGCAUACCCUUCAACUCUGGAAUUCUGGCUCUGGCCUUGUCCUGGAGAAAUUGGCACUGUUCCCCUGUCAGUCAUUAAGCUUUUUCUUUUCUGAAUGGAACAUCACCCAAACUCUGUUCUAGGUAAUGGUUUUAUGUAUUACUUGAAAAAGGUUUCUAUUGACAAGUAAGUUUCAACACUGAGUUUCUAUAUUUCAGGAAUUUGCAGAGCAGUGAUGUCCCAAAGAAUUCUUUGUGAUGAUGAAAAGGUUCUAUAUUUGGCUAUUGAGCACUUGAAAUGAGGCUAGUGCAACUGAAGAAGAGCAUUUUAAAAAAUUGUUUUUAAUUUUAAUUAAUUUAAAUAGCCACAUGUGACUAGCUGCUUACCAUAUCAGAUAACCAUAGCCUUAGUGCCUUUAUCAUUCAAAAGUACAUUGUGAACUUGGAAGAUUCAAAUAAACAUACUGUGGUUACCAAGCAUAUUUGGCCAUAGAACAUUUAGAAAUAAUUCUGUUACAUGACUAGUAUUUUGAAGAAUGCAUUUCAAAUACUACGACAGAAAAGAAAUGUAAUUGCCUUCCUUCUUCCUACCACACUGUAGGCUUGGCUGAGAAUACAUGAUUCAGGAUCUUGGUAUGAUCCUGGAGUUGGUGUAAUGCAAGAGAGUGACCCUGGAAUACAGUGAGAGUCAUAUAAGUUGCAAUUGAAAAAUUAAAUUCCUUUUUGUGUAUGCCUUGGGUUGUAAACCCCUAAAAUGUAGGGUAGUUGUUUUUUAUUGUUGUUGUCUUGGUUUUGGUUUUGAUAGUUAGGAUACUGAGCAUUCUUGAUAUCACAUUUCCAAUUUUAAACAUUCUUACAAUUAUGUGUAAAUGCGGAGAACUUAGACAUUAGUCAGAAUUUGGUACAAUAUACAGUAGCCAAUUAUCACAGGAACUGAAAACAUUGGCAGAUAAGGCUGUGGUCUAGGAGAUAAAAUGCAGCCCACACUAGCGAGCAUCAGUAUUCAAGCCAACUCUUAAAUUAACCAAAUGCAGCCUAACACCUUCAUAUCACACAUUUCUUUUUUCCUCUCACUGUUAUCACUGAAAUCAUAAGUUAGAUGCACAGGAAAUAAUUCUUUCACUGAAUAAUGAAAACGUUGGGAUACAGAAUACCAACGAAGGAAAUGAACAAAUGCUGCUCUCACCAGGCCUCAUGUCUGCAGCACUGGGACUCAGCACGCCCUCUUCAAAGGGGAUGUCCAUUCCUACAUCCUCUGACAGUAGUCUGCAAAAAAAGCAAAGCAAAGCGCGUCAACAACAACUGUGUAAGACUUCAUUUCUUUUGAAAAGGAAACCCACAGAGUCCAGGAUAACAUUUUCAACUCACUUAAAAUAAACCAUGUAUGGGGACUGAAUCCACUGUAAGUGGUCCCAAAUUAAAGACUUUCUGCAGUUAUGGUAAAUGAGAAAAAUGGACACCAAUUUCACUUGCUUACAUCAAGUCACUUCUGCUAGCUCACUUAAUAAACACACACCAAGUGGGAAACUCAGAAAUAGGAAAUGCAAACAACUAAUAAAAUAUACUUCGGGGACAUUUAAUAUAUAUAUAUUUUUAACAACAGGGUCAAUAUAUGUGCUUUGUACACAUCUCUUACUCUGUAAAUUUGAGUAUUUUAAUUAAAUUCCCAUGGACAGAGGGAGAGCAUAUUCUGUUGAUCUCAGUUUUCAUUUGUAAACUAGGGAUAUACACCUACUUCACCACGUUGUUUAAAGAUUAAGCUACAAAAGUAAAGUGCCUAACACUCCUGAGCAGGCAUAGACUGAUGUUAUUUUUCUUCCUUUUUUGAAUAUUUAAAGAGUCACUGUGAAUAUAUGUUGGUGAAGAUGGCUCUGGUCAUGACUUCCCACCUCUUGUUUCUAAUCAGUGCUGAGCCCACAACCAUCUGUAUUAGCACAUUUGGUAAGAAGUGUAGGGAAACAGGAAAUACCAAAGGCAAUUGUGACGAAUCUAUAUGUUCUUCUAAGAAGCUGACCACUGUUCACGAUAAAUUUCUCUUGAUUUAUUUUCAUCCCUGGACCUUUGUUCAGUAAGACCCCAUUUACCAUAAUAUAUAUUUCUUCUCUGUGAGUUUCACGUAAUUUCAUUCACCUAGGGUGAGUCCUUAUGAUGUGGGCACUAACCUAAUUUUAAACAUGAUAAACCUUUAUGUUAAAGUUCUUAAUUUAGUCCCCUUCUGCCUCUCUUACUGUACUUUGCACUAUGUAACGCUGGAUCUACCAAACCUUUGGAGUUUAAUCUGCUUCUCCAGGAUGCAAGUCAAAUCCCCUACUGUCAAUAAAGCACUAUGAUGAAAGAAAAUAAUCUGCACCCUUAGCGAUUACUGCAUUUGCUUCAUUUAUUCAACAAAUAUCUAUUAAGUGUCUACUAUGUGCCGAGGAUAUAGAGGAACAAAACAGACCCGUCUCAUUCUCGUGGUGGAGUUGGGAUGAUGGAGCUAAUACAAUGACCCCUACCUUCAAAAACUCAGUGCUGCUCCCCUGGAUAGAGUGAGGCUUAAACAUGAAAAUUUGAGGAACGCUGAGCAGGAAUAGAAGGAAAGCCUACAUUUUUAUCAUUUCAACCUCUUUGCUUUUCAGAGAAUAAUUAACUCCUUGGCUGUGAAUGAUGGAUGCAUGGAGAAUUCUACCUCUUGCCUGCAGGCUAUUUGCUAGCUUCUUUUAAUAUUUUUCCUAUAACCUUAAGAUCUAUGAAUAGAUUUGUUUGUUGUGGAGAAGAUUAAAUUAGAUGGCAUAAUCUCACAUUGGAGAGGGGCAUAUACUUAUUUAGGAAGUGAGUUUACAGUUCACAACCAGGAUGGCUCAAAGGGAUCUCAAACUGAACAUGUUCAAAACCUAAUCCCACAUCUUCCUCUACGCAGAUCCGCUACAUCCUACCUUCUCUGUGACGACUUUGAAAAGUGUCCAUGAAUUCUUUGACACUCUUUUCAAAAGGUGGAGCCUAAUUUCCCGUCCCUUAAGUGUGGACUGAUGAUUUGCUUCUAAAGAACAGAAUAAGGUGGAAUGGAUGGUAGGUGACUUCUAAGGCUAGGUCCUAAAAAGCACUGUGUGCUUUGUUCUCUCUUGGGUCUCUCAGUCUGGGAGAAACCAGCUACCCUGUUGUAAGGACAGUCAAGCAGCCCUGUGGAGAGUCCAUGUGGCAAGGAACUGAGGCUUCCUGUGAAAAUCCAGGAAGGAACUGAAGCCUUCUGCCAACAGCCAUGUGAACGAGCCAUCUUGGAGGCAGAUCCUGCAGCCUGGCUAAUGUCUUGAUGGCAACUUAACAAGAUACCUUAAGCCAGAACCAUCUAGCUAAUACACUCUUGAAUUCCUAUUACAAACACUGGGAAAUAAUCAAUGUUUGUUGUUUUAAGCUGCUAAACUUUGAUAUUAUUUAUUUUAUUCAUUUAUUUUUUG